GUCCCCAAGACAACUUGGCAUGAGGUGGGGCAACCAAUUUCUCUUGCAGGUACUGGUCCCAUCUCAUAGCCGCACCCCUGCAUCUGCCCUAUCCCUUCUUGGACAGUGAGCCCCAGAGAAGGGGGAGCCCCAGGGUCCCUCUGGCUCAUCACUCUGUGGUUGGUUGAAUUUACAAAUGCAGAACCCACAGAGACAGGGGGCCAACUGUGCAGCAGUGAGGGUCUGGCUCUGUAACCCAGGCUUGAAUGCAGUGGCAUGAUGGGUGCAAUCUUGUUACCUGUUACUGGUCUCUUCAGGUUUUCUUUUUGGCUCAAUCUUGAGAUGGAGGCUCGUUUUGUUGCCCAGGCUGGAGUGCAGUG
Molecule: long non-coding RNA, 359 nt
Filed under: Homo sapiens (human)
Lineage: Eukaryota; Metazoa; Chordata; Mammalia; Primates; Hominidae
Description: HSALNT0297657
Source: RNAcentral